AUUGAACGCUGGCGGCAUGCUUUACACAUGCAAGUCGAACGGCAGCGCGGGCUUCGGCCUGGCGGCGAGUGGCGAACGGGUGAGUAAUGCAUCGGAACGUACCCAGUAGUGGGGGAUAGCCCGGCGAAAGCCGGAUUAAUACCGCAUACGACCUGAGGGUGAAAGCGGGGGACCGAAAGGCCUCGCGCUAUUGGAGCGGCCGAUGUCGGAUUAGCUAGUUGGUGGGGUAAAGGCUUACCAAGGCGACGAUCCGUAGCUGGUCUGAGAGGACGACCAGCCACACUGGGACUGAGACACGGCCCAGACUCCUACGGGAGGCAGCAGUGGGGAAUUCUGGACAAUGGGGGCAACCCUGAUCCAGCCAUGCCGCGUGCGGGAAGAAGGCCUUCGGGUUGUAAACCGCUUUUGUUCGGGAAGAAAUCCUCUGGGCUAAUACCCCGGGGGGAUGACGGUACCGGAAGAAUAAGCACCGGCUAACUACGU
Molecule: ribosomal RNA, 483 nt
Filed under: uncultured bacterium
Lineage: Bacteria
Description: partial 16S ribosomal RNA
Rfam family: Bacterial small subunit ribosomal RNA
Source: RNAcentral